Molecule: ribosomal RNA, 253 nt
Filed under: uncultured bacterium
Lineage: Bacteria
Description: partial 16S ribosomal RNA
Rfam family: Bacterial small subunit ribosomal RNA
Source: RNAcentral
UACGAAGGGGGCUAGCGUUGCUCGGAAUCACUGGGCGUAAAGCGCACGUAGGCGGGUUGCUAAGUCAGGGGUGAAAUCCUGGAGCUCAACUCCAGAACUGCCUUUGAUACUGGGAAUCUCGAGUCCGGGAGAGGUGAGUGGAACUGCGAGUGUAGAGGUGAAAUUCGUAGAUAUUCGCAAGAACACCAGUGGCGAAGGCGGCCCACUGGAUCGGUACUGACGCUGAGGUGCGAAAGCGUGGGGAGCAAACAGG